UGGAGUGUGUUUGAGGCUUAGGAG
This 24-nucleotide non-coding RNA is filed under the name Mus musculus (house mouse). Lineage: Eukaryota; Metazoa; Chordata; Mammalia; Rodentia; Muridae. The record is from RNAcentral.